CGCCCAGGCUGGAGUGCGGAGGUGCAAUCUUGGCUCACUGCAACCUCCACCUCCCCAAUUCAAGCCAUUCUCCUUUCUCAGCCUCCUGAGUAGCUGGGAUUACAGGCACACACCACCAUGCCCAGCUAAUUUUUGUAUUUUUAGUACAGACGGGGCUUCAUCAUAUUGGUCAGACUGGUCUCAAACUCCUGAUCUCAGGUGAUCCACCUGCCUUGGCUUCCCAAAGUGCUGGGAUUACAGGUGUGAGCCACAACACCCGGCCACAAAUAAACUCUUAAAAACAUGUGGCUGGGCGCAAUGGCUCACGCCUGUAAUCCCAGCACUUUGGGAGGCAGAGGCGGGGGGAUCACGAGGUCGGGAGAUCGAGACCAUCCUGACUAACACGGUGAAACCCCGUCUCUACUAAAAAUACAAAAAAUUAGCCGGGCGUGGUGGCGGGCACCUGUGGUCCCA
Molecule: long non-coding RNA, 453 nt
Filed under: Homo sapiens (human)
Lineage: Eukaryota; Metazoa; Chordata; Mammalia; Primates; Hominidae
Description: HSALNT0346257
Source: RNAcentral